Molecule: ribosomal RNA, 370 nt
Filed under: uncultured organism
Description: bacterial SSU rRNA
Rfam family: Bacterial small subunit ribosomal RNA
Source: RNAcentral
CGUAGGGUGCAAGCGUUAAUCGGAAUUACUGGGCGUAAAGCGUGCGCAGGCGGUUUUGUAAGACUGUCGUGAAAUCCCCGGGCUCAACCUGGGAAUGGCGAUGGUGACUGCAAGGCUAGAGUUUGGCAGAGGGGGGUAGAAUUCCACGUGUAGCAGUGAAAUGCGUAGAUAUGUGGAGGAACACCGAUGGCGAAGGCAGCCCCCUGGGUCAAAACUGACGCUCAUGCACGAAAGCGUGGGGAGCAAACAGGAUUAGAUACCCUGGUAGUCCACGCCCUAAACGAUGUCUACUAGUUGUCGGGUCUUAAUUGACUUGGUAACGCAGCUAACGCGUGAAGUAGACCGCCUGGGGAGUACGGUCGCAAGAUUA